This 253-nucleotide ribosomal RNA is filed under the name uncultured bacterium. Its description in RNAcentral is "partial 16S ribosomal RNA". It matches the Rfam family "Bacterial small subunit ribosomal RNA", at positions 524 to 776 of the family's 1533-position model. The record is from RNAcentral.
UACGGGGGGGGCAAGCGUUGUUCGGAAUUACUGGGCGUAAAGGGCGCGUAGGCGGUUUUGUAAGUCAGACGUGAAAUCCCCAGGCUUAACUUGGGAACUGCGUCUGAUACUGCAAAACUUGAGUGCGGGAGAGGGAUGUGGAAUUCCAGGUGUAGCGGUGAAAUGCGUAGAGAUCUGGAGGAACACCGGUGGCGAAGGCGGCAUCCUGGACCGACACUGACGCUGAGGCGCGAAAGCUAGGGGAGCAAACGGG